RNAcentral lists this unclassified non-coding RNA (536 nucleotides) under Hevea brasiliensis (rubber tree). Lineage: Eukaryota; Viridiplantae; Streptophyta; Magnoliopsida; Malpighiales; Euphorbiaceae. The record is from RNAcentral.
UGGUGCUAGCACAAGCUCCUCUUGGAGCUUAUUAAAGGCAUAUGGAGUAAGAACAGAGGCUGCUUGUGAUUCGAUCGGUGAACCUGUUUUGAGGUAAACUUUUUGUGUUUUUCGUUGAGUCUCUGCCCUGACUCCAGUACAAUUACUUAAAUCAAUAAUUUCAGCCACUCGCUUAACAAAACAAUCUAAUUGUGAUUGUGCACUCAAAAACCGUUGAAUGAAAGCAUUAAUAGAUUCAGACUGACACGUGUUCAUCAUUCCUGCAAAAAAGUAAUGCCUCAAAUACGACAAAGCCCAGUAUGUCCGCAGUGCAUACAAACUAGCAAUGUGCUUAUUAGCAUGAAGCCCAUAUUUGAUGACCAUUUCUUUCCAUCCUUCCUCAAAAUCUUCCACAAACUCAAGAUUAUAGAGUCGGAGAAACUCAGCUUUCCAGUCAUCAUAACAUGACCCAAGCAGCAUGGAAAACCAAUCUGAGAAUUUAGCAAUGAUGUGCCAAAUACAAAAGGCCUGUUUAGUUUCUGGCAUUUCAAUUGCAA